GACGAACGCUGGCGGCGUGCCUAACACAUGCAAGUCGAACGAGGUCCAUGCAGUGGCAACACUGCGGAAGACCUAGUGGCGAACGGGUGAGUAACACGUGAGGAACCUGCCCCGAGGACCGGGAUAACCCUCCGAAAGGAGAGCUAAUACCAGAUACCCCCACCGGAUCGCAUGAUCUGGUGAGGAAAUGGAUUCCGCUUCGGGAGGGCCUCGCGGCCUAUCAGCUAGUUGGUGGGGUAACGGCCCACCAAGGCAUCGACGGGUAGCUGGUCUGAGAGGACGAUCAGCCACACUGGGACUGAGACACGGCCCAGACUCCUACGGGAGGCAGCAGUGGGGAAUCUUGCGCAAUGGGCGAAAGCCUGACGCAGCAACGCCGCGUGGGGAUGAAGGCUCUCGGGUUGUAAACCCCUUUCAGCAGGGACGAAUCAAGACGGUACCUGCAGAAGAAGCCCCGG
RNAcentral lists this ribosomal RNA (458 nucleotides) under uncultured bacterium. Its description in RNAcentral is "bacterial SSU rRNA". It matches the Rfam family "Bacterial small subunit ribosomal RNA", at positions 28 to 496 of the family's 1533-position model. The record is from RNAcentral.